UUUUAUUAGCUCACGCAUUCUCUCUCUCUCUCUUCUCCUUCUCUCUCUUUUCUCUCCAUCGACAUCUCACACAAACACACGAGCACUACCACCUACCACCACCAGCCACUGCCCCUCCGAUGAUGUUAGUUACAUGAGCACCAAUCGAUUGAUUCCGAGCUUGGCGUUUGAUUCUAAUUCCGAGCUUGGAAUUUGAUUAUGAUUCUGAGCCCCUUCCACAGAUUUGAUUUCUUUGGGAGAAGAGAUGUCUGAAUUCUGAACUUUGGCAUGCAUGUGCAGGUCCUCUUGUUUCCCUACCUGCUGUUGGAAGCCGCGUGGUGUAUUUCUCUCAGGGCCAUAGUGAGCAGGUUACUGCAUCAACCAACAAAGAAGUGGAUGCCCAUAUACCUAACCACCCAAGCUUAUCUCCACAACUCAUUUGUCAGCUUCACAAUGUGACCAUGCAUGCGGAUGUGGAGACAGAUGAGGUAUAUGCUCAGAUGACCUUGUAACCACUGAGCUCGGUAUGCUAAUUUAUUAUUUAAGUUUAUUUACCAGUUUUAUAAUCUACUUUUUUCUUUUCUUUUCCCUAGAUAUACGAUGAUCCAUAUUGUAGGUAAUCUUUUGAUCAAACUCUUCUACCUUCUACACACAAAUGGAGUGAAAACUCCUGGAUAUGUACUUUAUUGAGUGAAUAAUGGUGAAUGAUGUGAAUGCCCAUUUUCUUAUUAACAGUUGACCUUGAAAUUGUCAACUAGCAAGAUGAGUGGAGAGGUGCUUUAUUUCUCAUUUAACAUAAAAUUGAAUUUAUAACCAA
Camellia sinensis is the source of this 796-nucleotide non-coding RNA. Lineage: Eukaryota; Viridiplantae; Streptophyta; Magnoliopsida; Ericales; Theaceae. The record is from RefSeq and is a predicted model, not a curated record.